GUCAGCAGCCGCGGUAACACCGGCAGCUCUAGUGGUAACAAUUUUAUUGGGCCUAAAGCGUCCGUAGCCGGUUUAAUAAGUCUCUGGUGAAAUCCUGUAGCUUAACGUGUGGGAAUUGCUGGAGAUACUAUUAGACUUGAGACCGGGAGAGGUUAGAGGUACUCCCAGGGUAGAGGUGAAAUUCUGUAAUCCUGGGAGGACCGCCUGUUGCGAAGGCGUCUAACUGGAACGGUUCUGACGGUGAGGGACGAAAGUUAGGGGCGCGAACCGGAUUAGAUACCCGGGUAGUCCUAACUGUAAACGAUGCGGACUUGGUGUUGGGGUGGCUUUGAGCUGUCUCAGUGCCGAAGGGAAGCUGUUAAGUCCGCCGCCUGGGAAGUACGGUCGCAAGACUGAACUUAAGGAAUUGGCGGGGGAGCACCACAACGCGUGGAGCCUGCGGUUUAAUUGGAUUCAACGCCGGACAUCUCACCAGAGGCGACAGCUGUAUGAUAGCCAGGUUGAUGACUUUGCUUGACUAGCUGAGGGGAGGUGCAUGG
RNAcentral lists this ribosomal RNA (539 nucleotides) under uncultured archaeon. Its description in RNAcentral is "bacterial SSU rRNA". It matches the Rfam family "Archaeal small subunit ribosomal RNA", at positions 457 to 997 of the family's 1478-position model. The record is from RNAcentral.